UGCCGACUUAGCUCAGUUGGUAGAGCAUCUGAUUUGUAAUCAGAGGGUCGGGCGUUCGAAUCGUCUAGUCGGC
RNAcentral lists this transfer RNA (73 nucleotides) under Latilactobacillus sakei. Its description in RNAcentral is "Lactobacillus sakei tRNA-Thr". It matches the Rfam family "tRNA". Rfam says of the family: Transfer RNA (tRNA) molecules are approximately 80 nucleotides in length. The record is from RNAcentral. Lineage: Bacteria; Bacillati; Bacillota; Bacilli; Lactobacillales; Lactobacillaceae.